UACGCAGGCGGCUUGGUAAGACAGGCGUGAAAUCCCCGGGCUUAACCUGGGAACUGCGCUUGUGACUGCCAGGCUAGAGUCUGUCAGAGGGGGGUGGAAUUCCACGUGUAGCAGUGAAAUGCGUAGAGAUGUGGAGGAACACCGAUGGCGAAGGCAGCCCCCUGGGAUAAGACUGACGCUCAUGUACGAAAGCGUGGGGAGCAAACAGGAUUAGAUACCCUGGUAGUCCACGCCCUAAACGAUGUCGACUAGUUGUCGGGGAUUAACUUCCUCGGUAACGCAGCUAACGCGUGAAGUCGACCGCCUGGGGAGUACGGUCGCAAGAUUAAA
RNAcentral lists this ribosomal RNA (330 nucleotides) under uncultured bacterium. RNAcentral's name for it is "bacterial SSU rRNA". It matches the Rfam family "Bacterial small subunit ribosomal RNA", at positions 568 to 898 of the family's 1533-position model. The record is from RNAcentral.